RNAcentral lists this transfer RNA (77 nucleotides) under Paracidovorax avenae. RNAcentral describes it as "tRNA-Met". It matches the Rfam family "tRNA". From Rfam's summary of the family: Transfer RNA (tRNA) molecules are approximately 80 nucleotides in length. Their secondary structure includes four short double-helical elements and three loops (D, anti-codon, and T loops). Further hydrogen bonds mediate the characteristic L-shaped molecular structure. tRNAs have two regions of fundamental functional importance: the anti-codon, which is responsible for specific mRNA codon recognition, and the 3' end, to which the tRNAs corresponding amino acid is attached (by aminoacyl-tRNA synthetases). tRNAs cope with the degeneracy of the genetic code in two manners: having more than one tRNA (with a specific anti-codon) for a particular amino acid; and 'wobble' base-pairing, i.e. permitting non-standard base-pairing at the 3rd anti-codon position. The record is from RNAcentral. Lineage: Bacteria; Pseudomonadati; Pseudomonadota; Betaproteobacteria; Burkholderiales; Comamonadaceae.
CGCGGUGUAGCUCAGCCAGGUAGAGCAGCGGGUUCAUACCCCGCCUGUCGUCGGAUCGAAGCCGACCACCGCAACCA